CCUACGGGUGACAGCAGUGAGGAAUAUUGGUCAAUGGGCGGGAGCCUGAACCAGCCAAGCCGCGUGAAGGAAGACGGCGCUAGGCGUCGUAAACUUCUUUUGUCGGGGCACAAAGGGCGCCACUCGUGGCGAUGUGUGUGUACCCGAAGAAAAAGCAUCGGCUAACUCCGUCCCAGCAGCCGCGGUAAUACGGAGGAUGCGAGCGUUAGCCGGAUUUAUUGGGUUUAAAGGGUGCGUAGGCGGUCCGGAAAGUCAGCGGUAAAAGCCCGGGGCUCAACCUCGGCGAGCCGUUGAAACUGUCGGACUAGAGACGGCGAGAGGGACGCGGAAUGCGCGGUGUAGCGGUGAAAUGCAUAGAUAUCGCGCAGAACACCGAUUGCGAAGGCAGCGUACCGGCGCCGGACUGACGCUGAGGCACGAAAGCGUGGGUAUCGAACAGGAUUAGAUACCCUAGUAGUC
This 459-nucleotide ribosomal RNA is filed under the name uncultured bacterium. Its description in RNAcentral is "partial 16S ribosomal RNA". It matches the Rfam family "Bacterial small subunit ribosomal RNA", at positions 338 to 795 of the family's 1533-position model. The record is from RNAcentral.